CAUUCUAUCAAACUCUCAUUUCUCUCAAGCGCUUCACCUCGAAGCUUAAUUCUCUCUGGCUGACUAAUCCGAAGCCACGACGGUGGUUCUCGUUUCAGAUGCUCUGCCGGUCAGACGGGAUUCUUCACUCGGCUUGGCAGGCUGCUCAAGGAGAAGGCCAAGAGCGAUGUUGAGAAGGUCUUCUUUGGCUUCUCAAAGACUCGUGACAACCUUGCUGUUAUCGAUGAGUUUCUUCUGUACUGGAACCUCGCGGAAAUCGAUAGAGUUCUCGAAGAACUCGAAGAGGUCUGUCUUCUGCUCCUGUAUUCCCUGUAGUUUUAUGUUUGUGUCAAUGAAAGGAAAAUAGUAAUGAUCAUGAAUUAUUGGAUUAUUUGAACUCAAAUUCGUGAAAACUAAUCUACUAUUCUCUUAAGCUUUCUUUUCCAGUGUGUGAAUUCAACCGAGAUGUAAUGCGAUUUUAGUUUAUAUUUGUUUCUUCUCUGGCUUCUCAAAGACUCGUGACAAUCUUGCUGUUAUCGAUGAGUUUCUUCUGUACUGGAACCUCGCGGAAAUCGACGGAGUUCUCGACGAACUCGAAGAGGUCCUUAUUUACGAGGAUGAACCUAAAUCCUAUACUCUUUCAGAACUGAAAUUUUGUAUGGCUCGAAUGUUUUGUAAUUUGGCUAUGCCGUUAUAUAUUGAUAGAGGCAUUAUUGGUGUCUGAUUUCGGGCAAAUGAUCGCACCAUUAAGAUCGUGGAGAGCUUGCGUGACCACAUCAGCAGGAAAGCCUUAAUCGAGUAGUGAAACAAAGGAUGCAUUAAAGAAGAAUGUUUUGGCGCUUUCGACAGGGAAGGGAGCAAAACUGACCUUCAACUCUGAUUCCGGUUUGCUUUCUUUAUAGCUUGAUGGAAGAGUUAAUAGCAUGUAAGAAAGCUGUGGGCAAAGUUAUUUCAGGGGCACCGAAUGGCUGCCAACCAUGAUAUUGGUUUGCAAUAAUAGAAGCACAGAAGUUGUCGCUGCCUGCCAUUCUUUUUGCUGAGCAUGUGGAAAUGUAGAAUGCUGAAAAAAAUGCAUGGU
Non-coding RNA from Cucurbita pepo subsp. pepo (vegetable marrow), 1057 nucleotides. The record is from RefSeq and is a predicted model, not a curated record. Lineage: Eukaryota; Viridiplantae; Streptophyta; Magnoliopsida; Cucurbitales; Cucurbitaceae.